This 71-nucleotide transfer RNA is filed under the name Marmota monax (woodchuck). RNAcentral's name for it is "tRNA.Ala". Lineage: Eukaryota; Metazoa; Chordata; Mammalia; Rodentia; Sciuridae. The record is from RNAcentral.
GGGGUUGUGGCUCAGGGGUAGAGUGCUUGCCAAGCAUGCAUGAGGCACUGGGUUCAAUCCUCAGCACCACA